Ictalurus punctatus (channel catfish) is the source of this 279-nucleotide long non-coding RNA. RefSeq lists it as uncharacterized. Lineage: Eukaryota; Metazoa; Chordata; Actinopteri; Siluriformes; Ictaluridae. The transcript has 3 exons. The record is from RefSeq and is a predicted model, not a curated record.
UUCCCACACACCCGAGUGCGUGACUGCAGGCCCAGAUCGUCACACGCAGACCACAAGGUCCAGGCCAUCCAGCCACCUGCAUGGACAAACACGCUUUUAGAGGGUUCUACCAUGCAUUUACACUGAUUUCUUUGAAGUCAGAGAUGACAGACUGCUAAGCAACCAGAGAUUUUACGAUGCAGAAACAGAGUCAGCAGCGACAAGAGACAAGCUACAGAGACAAGCGCUUCAGAGCAGUGCGAAUUGUACUAUGGAGCUGACAGAUGGCGCAUAUCUUGG